This 243-nucleotide unclassified non-coding RNA is filed under the name Hevea brasiliensis (rubber tree). The record is from RNAcentral. Lineage: Eukaryota; Viridiplantae; Streptophyta; Magnoliopsida; Malpighiales; Euphorbiaceae.
AGAUACAGUAUCUGAAUUGGUAAGUACAACCAAAGUAGUCAAAGAAGCUUUACUGAACCCCAAGUAAGUUUAUUAGCUUUACUGAACCCCAACUAAGUAAUUAGAAACCAGCUUUCAGUAACGAGCGAACAUAGCAAUGGCACAAAGAACCUGUAAAUAACCAAACCCCACAAAAAUCUUGAAGAUAAACAGCAAAUUUGCCUACUUUCUUGAUUUUCAGAGGAAAAAAGAAGUUGGAUUUAG